RNAcentral lists this non-coding RNA (21 nucleotides) under Caenorhabditis elegans. Lineage: Eukaryota; Metazoa; Nematoda; Chromadorea; Rhabditida; Rhabditidae. The record is from RNAcentral.
UAUGUUAAGAAGUUUUAUAUU